AUCAACUAUUAAAAACAUCUCCCAUCAAAUAGAAUUUAACAAGUGCAGGUACAAAUCGACAAAUUACAAACUUCAAAUAUCAUCCCCGCUAUUGCCAAAAAAAAAAAGCAAUAGCAAACACAAGCAACUACAGCACCAAGCAGUAAAAACACCAACAAGCAGCAAAAAAAGCAACAUACAGCAACAAGGUUUCCUGUUUAAUAUUUGAUAUUAGAAGGAAUAAAAUUUGACAAAAAAAAAGCCAUCAUUUCAGACGCAGCAACAGACAAAAAAAAAACUAAUAUUACAUCAUUUAUUGUGGUGUACCUCACAAAGCAAUUACUUAUUCCCUCCAAAUGUAUCGUCCAUAUUGCGACCUGAUUUCUAUAAUUGAAAUUAAACAUAAAAAGUAAAAUUAGGAUAAUAAGUAGUAUUAUACAAAAAGGCGAAAUCUUAUCUAAGUUCAAGUGAUGAAACAAGCACAUACAAGUCAAAAAGUUUAUCUAAGUGAUCAAAUUUCCAUUAAUGGUUGUAAGCGAACCAAACGAUCAAGGAACCUUUCGUGAACCGUUCAGCAUAAAGGAUUUGGUGAUUAUCCGGUUAUUAGAUUAGCAUGGUUUAUUUAGUUCUUAUCUUUACUGAGAUAGAUAUCCUAUUUGUUAGUAAUUGGUAGUUAUCCUUUUGUGAUCAGACUAUAUAUGUAGUCUUCGUUUGUAACCUGAGAUUAUCAUGAUGAAUACCAAUUAAAGUAAGCUUAUACCAAUUCUUUGUGGUAUCAGAGCGGGUCGUUUUCAGGGGACGAUAACAAUCUCCGGCGAGCAUGGCGGGAGAUAUACCAGAAGGAUCCGGCAAGAAAAGCGAUGAGGGAAUUGAUAUCACUUCGUCAUUCUACAUUCAUCCAUCAGAUUAUCCCAAACAAGUUCAAGUGAAUGACUUGUUGAACGACAACAAUUACAACGAAUGGAAACAGGAGAUGACAAAUUUUCUCUUGGCGAAAAACAAGAUGGGAUUAAUAGAUGGAACGGUAAAGAAGCCCGAGUCAACAUCACCCACGUACAAGGCAUGGGUUCGAGCCGAUGCUAUGAUAAAAAGGUGGUUAGCCACAACGAUGGAGAUGGAGAUAAGAACAAGUGUUCGAUAUGCGAACACCUCCUUUGAGAUCUGGUCAGACCUUGAAGAGCGAUUCGAAAAAGAGGGUGCACCUCGUGCUUACGAGCUAAAACAAACACUCCAUGUAACGAGACAAGAUGGGAGCUCGGUGUCGAAUUACUACACUAAACUAAGAUCAAUUUGGGAUGAAUUGCAGAUGGUACUUCCCACGCCACGAUGUACCUGUGAAGGUUGUGAUUGUGGAAUUGGAAAACAACUGAAUGAGUUGAGAGAGAAAGAAAGGACUUACGAGUUCUUGAUGGGUUUGGACGAAGAUUUCGCAGUCAUCAGAACACAAGUACUUGCUAUGAAGCCAACAUCAUCCAUCGGAACGGUUUACCAUUUGUUAGCAGAAGACGAGCAACAAAGGGCAAUCACGGGUGGAGUGAAAAGAACUGGGACUGAGGCAUCAACAUUUCAAGCUAACUAUAGUUCUCAGCGGGGACAGCGACAACCAUUGUCAAAGCAAGCCACUCAAUCGGUGAAUAAAGUGGCACAAAAAUUCUCGAAAUCAGAUAAUGACAAUAAGAUUCGAUGUUCUCACUGUCAGCGAGAUGGACACAACAAGGAUGGGUGUUUCAAACUUAUUGGGUACCCUGAAUGGUGGCCCGGUAAGAAAGAUAAACCCAAGGCAGCUUGUGUGGAGCUGGGCCCAAGUCCGAUCCCCGGGCUUUCAGACGAGCAAUACCGACUCUUUGUUGAACACUUCAAGGAAGGAACGAAUAUAACAAAACAGUUAAUGGCAAACAUGGUAGGUAGAAAUGGAAUCUAUGAUGGGUGGAUUGUCGACUCGGGAGCCACCGAGCACAUGACACACAUAAGUGAUUUUUUGAUUAAUAAAACCCAAAACCCAAAAGACUCACCUGUUGUUAUCCCUAAUAGAGACAAGGUUCAGGUCAUGGGGGAGGGUGAACAAACUUUGCCAGGAGGUUUAAAAUUAAAAGGAGUAUUAUUUGUACCAAACUUUAAUUACAAUCUUCUUUCAGUUGGUAAACUUGCAGAUGAUCUAAACUGUGCUGUUACUUUUUUCCCUGGUUUCUUUGUGAUGCAGGAGUUGGGGACGAAUGUCACACCCCAAAACCGAAACGGCGAAAACGUUCUGGGGUGGAUGACGUCAUGUCAAGUAUCACAACAUAUGCAGUAUAGUGAUCAAAGUAUAACAACCAUUGCAUUAAUAGUAAUAUUUUUACAUAAGUUACAUUAAAUAGAGACAUCAAAGUAAUACAGAACUACUAUAAAUGCAGCUCGGUUCUAGGUUGACUUCACAAACGCUCCUGGGUGUACCUGUCUAUUGCUGACCUGAGAAUACAAGUUAUUUUGAAAGCGAGUAUCAGUAUUUUUAUAAAUGCUGGUGAGUUCAUAAGUAUUUAGUGUCAUUUGUGUAAGUAAACACUUUAUUCAAAAUAACUUUAUGAAAAGUAAUAGUUUAGAAUCUACAGUGUAUUAGCGUCCUUUCUAGAAAAUCCUAUAUUUUCUAAAUAAAAGCAGUCUUCUACCAAGACUCGACAGAGUUAUGUUGUAAAAAGUAAUUUUCCCUUAAACACUAUCAUUACCAAAAUACGGUAUUUGACUUUAAAGAGAGUAGGGGAGUAUCACUAGUAGAAUACUAGGGGAAAAUAACAUAUGCCUCGGCAGAAAUACUGCUGACUAAGGCAAAAGAAAUCAUAGACUCCGGGAGAGUAUCGAAUGAAUGAUACGUCUGACUCAGUCUAACAAAAGGAAACACAAACCCCAGACGGUAUCAAAUGUACGAUCCGACUAGCAAGGUCUAAAACAAAGAAACACAGACCCCAGACAGUAUCAAAUGAAAGAUACAGCUAGCAAGGUCUAAAACGGAGAAACACAGACCCCAGACAGUAUCAAAUGAAAGAUACAGCUAGCAAGGUCUAAAAUGGAGAAACACAGACCCCAGACAGUAUCAAAUGAAAGAUACAGCUAGCAAGGUCUAAAACAAGGAAAAAGUCCUAAGUGGGUUGUUUCAAGAAUACAAUGUUAGAUUCUCGUUACCUUAGGGCCAUGAAUUAUAAGGUAAACAUGGAGAUACUCGUAACCAUAUUGAUCGACACUAGAGUACAUGACGCCCUGCAAGCGUCGAAAUAAAUGUGACAUUUGUCACCCCUUGGCUUGGUAGGCCGUGGACUGUAGCUAGAAGUCAGGGUGCGGGAGUGUCAGUCCCGUAUAGAUCUAUACACACAAUGUCCGCUCUCCCUACAGGAGACUCUGGUUACCAACUCAACGACGGGGAGAUCCGUGUCUUGAAGAUGCAUCUCGUAUUCUGAGUACUAAUAGAGGCGCUGGAGAAAUGACAUAGACUCGCGUAUGAACCGACUCCUGUGGAAUUCUCGUACUAGAAAGAGUGAAUAAAACCUCCUAACUAUUCCUAUAAUAGUUACUAGUGUCUCUAAUCUAUGAGCGAUGAACGGAAGGAUGCCCUUGCUACCCAAGGCGAUGUAAUGGUCGAGAGCGAGAGAGAGAGAAAGAGAGAGAGAGAGAGCGAGAGAGAGAGAGAGAGAGAGCUUUUAUGUCCAUAUAUGUAUACAUGAUAUAUAACUAAUGUUUAAACGACCUUCGGACGGGUAUCCGAUACCCACCAGACCACAUCCAAAUGAGGAAAAGGAAAUAGGGCGAACUAGCCAUCCUAAGUCCUUUAAACAUUAUUUAUAUAACUAUACAAGUACAAACAUGCAUUUAACGAAGUAGAAGCAUAUAAGCGUGGAAGAAAACUUUGACGAAAACUUUGGAAAACCUUUACACUUAAGAAAAUUGUGACUUGAUAUCCUUUUUGUAAAAUAAGUUUAAAGACCUUUAGAAAUCCUUGAAAAUCUUUCAUAAACAAGUUUUGAAUAUAACUUUGAUAAAACAAUAUAAGUAAAGAAAAACCUUUGUUUAACAUACUGCUGUAACUGGUUUUGAAGUACAACAUACAGCGCAAGAGACAAUUUGAGAAAGACUUAAACAAGUAAAGACGUUUUGGAAAACCAUUUAUAGUAUCAUACUUGGUAAAACAACUGAAAGUGUAAUAAAUCCUUGUGCAUGCGGGUUAUUAAUCACAUAUGAUUGAUAUUAUAACUAGCAUGUUUUAACUUGUAUUACCCCCAUAAAAGCAUGUGAAAACAUUUAAAAGGUUAAUUCAGGGGUAUGAACUCACCUGUUGUAAGUGGAUCGGGCGGAGGUGCCAGUUGGGUGCUCGGUGUCAAGUAAAGACUUGAACACGCUUAGUGACCUAUUAACAUAUGAUGACAUAUGUUUACAUACAAUUAGUAAUUAUAAUACUAAUUAAACACAUAUACGCAUCCUAAUGAGCGGAAAACACUUUGGUCAAGUGCUAGGAGUGUCCCGGGUAACAUCUAAGGGAGUGUAUGGCCCAAUUAGGGAGUUUACUCUUCAAGAGUAAACUCUUUAUAUAGUUUACGGCCCUAUGACCAUAUCCCCAUGAGUUUACGACCGUAAACUCAUGGGUGGUGUGCUCUUGGAUGCAUUAAGGCCUUAUAACACUGGUGAAACUAGGCUAGGUUCAAUUCUAGGGCAUAGGAAGGGCUUAAGGCCUCAUAUGGACCAUUUUAGGGAGUUUACGGUUCAUGACCACUCCUUGAGGAGUUUACGGCCGUAAACACAUUUCUUUUGUUGUUUGGUGGUUCUAACUCAUGCACGCAAGGUUCUAGUCACUUAUAUGAGCAUAGGAAGGUGUUAAAGGCACUUAAACACCUUGGAAAGGUGUUUACGGUCUAUAAAGAUGUUCUUGAGGAGUUUACUACCUUAAACACAUGAGUUUACGACAGUAAACUCAUGUUAGUCCAUGAAUCAUGUUUUUGGUGCAUCAACGAAGGAUUACAAGGCUCUAGACACUCAUGGAAGCUUUUGGAGGUGUUUGAGGGGCAGUUUAACACUUAAAUAAGUGUUUAUGGUCCAUGAAGAUGGGUUUACGGUCUAAGGAUGUUCUUAGACCGUAAACUCAUGUUUACUCCCCAUUUGUUCCGAUUUUUGUGUUCUAAGUCCUUUCAUGUAAGCCCAUAAGUCAUAACUAAGCUCCAUAAGUGGUUUGGAAGGGUUUUUGAGCAUUAAAACCCCAUCUAUGAGUGUUUACGGUCUAAGAAGGUGUUCUUGGACCGUAAACUCAUGUUCUUGAGGGUUUUGGGUAAUUUAAACACGAAUUUGUAAGUUAAAUGAGCUAAACAACAAGUUAGGGUAGAUCACUUACUAGUUUGGGGCUUGAAAGAGGCGAUUUUGGAGCAAACCCGAUUUGUAGAGAGAGAGUGUGUCUGUCUAAGGUGGGAAAAAUGUGGGAAUGAAACCCACUAAACCCUUAUAUAGGGUGUAGUUUAUGCCCUGGUUGGGGGUUCACCCAACACCAACCGCGAACGGGGUUUUUCACGUCUACCGUUAAACACAACAACAUUUUAAAAUUAUACCUCCUUAAUUUUGGUUCGCUUGAUGAAUAUUAUUUAAAAUAUUCCAACAGGUUUAAAUCCGAUCAAAAAUAUUUUCGGGAUAAAUUUGGUUAAUUUUUUUUUGACGUAAUUAAUUUCGACGUUAAAAGUAACGGAAAUUUUUGGGUUUUCACAACGAAGCACUUGAUUGGAGCGGGUAGUCGCAAUGGAGGAUUGUAUCGGAUGAGGGGUAUGAAGAUGAAGACAAAUGAAGCUUUAAUGUCGACUUUUGAGGUUUGGCACAAAAGGCUUGGGCACCCAUCAAUCAAGAAGAUCUCGAGUUUAGAUUUUGUUAGUGUUUCAAAUAAAGAACAAAUUAAUAAAUGUGAUGCUUGCUUUAAAGCAAAACACACUAGACUUCCAUUUACUGCUAGUGAAAUAAAAACUUCUUCUUGUUUUGAUCUGAUACAUUGUGAUGUGUGGGGUAGGUAUAGGACUCCUCUUAGCAAUGCAUCUUAUUUUUUUGACAAUUGUAGAUGACUUUAGUAGAGCAGUUUGGACCUUUCUGAUUAAACAUAAGUAUGAGGCUAGCACAUGUCUCAGAAUUUCACAAGAUGGUUCAAACUCAAUUUGGAAAGAAAAUCAAGCGAGUAAGGUGUGACAACGGGGGUGAGUUUGUGUCUAAUAAAAUGCGUGAUUUUUAUGCGCAAGAAGGAAUUGUUUUAGAGACAUCUUGUCCUCAUACACCACAACAGAAUGGUGUGGUUGAACGCAAGCAUAGGCACUUGUUAGAAACUGCACAUGCUCUUCGUUUUCAAGCAAACCUACCAAAGCUUUUUUGGGGUGAGUGUGUUUUGACAGCUACAUAUGUGAUAAACCAAAUGCCAACCAAAGUUUUGCAAGGUAUCACACCAUACGAGAUACUUUUCGGUCACAAACCUACUUAUGAUCACAUGCGGGUGUUUGGCUGUUUGGCUUAUUAUCGAAGUACAGAGACUAAGGGUGACAAAUUUGAGGCUAGGGGCAAACCAGGUUUGUUUGUUGGGUAUCCUCAAGGUACAAAAGGAUAUCGAAUAUAUGAUUUAGAAAACAGAAAAAUAAUUGUUUCUAGGGAUGUUCGAUUUCUAGAAGAUCAGUUUCCAAUGGGAUCAGAUUUAAUAAAUAAGAAUAUGCAACAAGAAGAACUUUUUGAGCUAGACAACAAUGCAAGUGAAACUCAUGUUGCCCCAUGUGGUGAAGUUGUUUCUCACGCAGAGUCUCACGAAGAUGAUCUCACCAUUGACCAAGAGGUGACUCCCACUUCUAAUGAUGAUAGUAAUAAUGCAUCUCCUAUAUCCACCAGCUUUAGCAAUGAAAAUUAUUCCACGCACACUGAAUCUGAAGAUAUUCAUUUAGCGAGGGCUACACGAGCUCGAACACAACCCCUUCGGUUUAAUGACUAUGAGGUUGAAUUAUGGUAUCAGUGCAAGAUAUCUUGUUCGGUUAGUUAAACGAACAAACACAAACAACAUUCUCCUUCGUUCAUUUAUGUUUGUGAAUGUUUGUUUACGUUCAUUAAUCUAUGUUCGUUUGUUUAAUUUAUUAUAGAUAGAUUUUUUAUGUACACACAUGUUUGUAUGUGUUUGUUCGUUUAAGUUAACAUAUAUUUGUUUGUUUAUGUUCUUUAGUGUCCAAUUAUGUACAUUUAAGUACGUUUGAGUUUGUUUAUGCUCAUUUGAUAAUGUUUAUCAGUUAAACGAAUGGACAUAAAAUUAUGUUCAUUUAAGUCUUCGUGUUCGCUCAUUUAUAGUUUAAAGUUAAAACGAACGAGCAAGAAAAAGCAUCCAUUAGUGUUCAUUUACAACCUUAGGCGUUUGGGAUUGAGUUUGAAAAAUAUUUAUUGACUUAUUUGCUUUUCAUUAGCCAAUAAGCUUAAAAAAGUGUUUGGGAAAUAGAAAAGUUCUUUUACAAAAUAGUUUUUUACUACCCUUAAAAAGACUUUUUUAAAAGUCGCACACUCAUGAUUUUAAAAAAAAAAAAAAAAAAAAAAAAAAAACUUAAAAGGUUGUUUGGUACUUGAGAAAUUAAGAUACAUGCUCUUAGUUUUUCAUAUUAAGUAUGUUUCGUUGCCUUGAACCCCAUUCCAUGUCGUCUAUGUUUUCCAUAACUUAAGAGGUUGUUUGGUACUCUCUCCCCAUAGUGCUUCUUAACAUGUGUUCUUCCUAAAUGCCAUAAAUAAUUCUUCAUGAAUAUUGCAUUUCCUUAUGAAAUUAUGGAAUGCGAAACAAGCAACGACUAUGCACUGAAAAACAAUGAGGACUCAUUUGCUUUAGGAUUGAAAAUCUCAGCUUCAAAACACCAUAGGCGCUCAAAAUACCAUUUCUUUAGUUGACGCAAGUCAUCGUUGAAAAUUGGAUAACCAAUACCUCAUGUUACGGUAAGAAGUCAUAAAUUCUCUUUCUCUAUAACGAGUAUGUUGAUCAAUAGGUACGCUGCAUGCGCACGAGUUCCAUCUAAUGCACCUAUUGCUCCUGUAAAUAUUUCUUUUAGCCUAUUAUGACGUUUUGAAGAAUUUACAAUUUCCACUAUAAUUUCUUUUGCAAAAAUCAUCAUUGCUUGUAGAACCUCAUUAAAGCAUCUAUGAAUAGUUUCUAUGGAGUGUUGAAAUCUUCAUUUGAUCAUCCUAAAUCGUUCAUUAUGUACAAUAAUUGUAAAAAACAUAGCCAUUUUUUUCAACACUUAUAUGCCUAUUAUUUACAACCAAUUGUUUCGUCUAAAUUGAUUGCAUAAAAGUACAUACGCUUCACGUGAAAGACGCAUCAUCUCAUGACAUUAUGUAGAAGUUCCAUAUAACAAUUCUUACGUAUAUGCAUGACCACUUAAUUCUGAAUCGUUAUUAAUUGCUUUUCCAAGUCUCACAAAUAUGUAGAUCAAUGGUUAACAAAACGUCUCUUAUCCGCACAUAAAAUACAAAAAUAGAUGUAGUGCAUCUCGGAUCAAAUAUUUCUUAUCUUAGCACCUAGAAUUGAAGAAAAUGGCUAUCUACAAAUAUCUUAACAACGUUAAGAUAUCUACAAAUAUCUUAACAACGUUAACAGUAUCUUCCCCAAUUUCUAGGAUUAUUGAAUUCGAUGUACUCUUUACUCUUUGUCGUACAUUCGUAUUUUUCCGUUUUUUGAUUGAGUGGAGGAAUUCUCACUGACACGUACAGGUUCUUUUUUAAUGUAAUCAAUGUCACCAAAGUCAUUUAAACUACAAUGGGUUCUUUUUGGCCCCCCAACUGUCAAUGCUUGUCGAAGUCGUGCCUUCAAACAAUCGUGUGCAAAGGUUGGUGUAGGGUAGCAGUGAGUCUCAAAUUACCUCUUAUUUUUUAAACAUGAUAAUAUAUAUAUAUAUAUAUAUAUANUUAACUUAAAAAAAACAUCAAAUUUUGACUUUAGGUAGUCAUUGAUUCUUCAUUUGUUUUUGGUCAAAAAUAAAAUUAUGUUCACUUUUUAAUUUUUCAGCAACAAUUUUCCAAAAGACUGGUUUUAAACUACUAUUUUCCUGUCCAUUGGCCGUAACUUCAUGUAAACAUGCUUCUAAAAAAGUUUUGUAUACAACUUCAAACUUCUAACUAAUCUUAUCCUCUUUUCUCUCAUGUCUUUGAUCAAUUCAACAAAGCAAAAAACCACAUCAAAUAUCAAAAAGAAUAAAUGUAUAUUUGGUAGGAUUAGAUUUCAGCAAAUCAACAUUACCAAAUUUCAAAAAAUAAAAAUACAAAACAAACAAUAUUAUCAUAUCAAAUUUCAAGUAAAACAAAAAACUCAUCAAAUUAUCAAGCAUCAUAAAACAACCAUCUAUUUUGAGGGCAAAAAAAAGAACAAAACAACCAUCUAUUUCUUGAAAUCUAAUCCUACCGAAUCUACAUUUGUUUUUCUAAUAUUACAAUCUAAUAUUGUUUUUUGAUUGCUGAAAUGUUUAUUGAAUUGAUCAAGGACAUGAGAGAAAAUAAGGAUAUGAUUAGUUGAUAGUCUGAAGUCGUAUACAAAACUUUUUUGAAGUUUGUUUACAUAAAGUUACAGUUAAUGGACGGGAAAAGAAUAGCUUAAAACCAGUCUCCUGAAAAAUUAUUGCUGAAAAAUUAAAAAAUGAACAUAACUUCAUUGUCGACCAAAAGCAAAUCAAGAACUGAUAUGACUACCUAAAGUCACUGUUUGGUGCUUUUUGAAGUCAAGAAACAAAACGACAAUGUGUACAAUGCAACAACCAACACCUUCCAAAGAAGAAUGGGAGCUAAAAACAAAUGUAUUUUGUUUAUUCAAAAAAUAUAUAUAUAUUAUGUUUAAAUAAUAAGAUGUAAUUUUUUCGAACAGUCAAACAAACAUGUUGAUUUUUUGAGACGCACUUUGCUAUCCUUCACCAACCUUUGCACUCAAUUAUUUGAAGGCACGACUUUGACAAGCAUUGACGAUUAGGAGCCAAUUACUACAUGUACCCCCUCAUUCUCAACAUUCAACCCAUUAUAGUUUGAAUGACUUUGAUGACAUUGAUUGCACUAAAAAAGAACCCGUACGCACCAGUGAAAAGUCCCUGCUCAAAAAAACGGAAGAGUACAAAUACGACAAAGAGUAAAGAUACAUCGAAUUCAAAAAUCCUAGAAAUUGAAGAAGAUAUUGCCAAGGUUGCUAAAAUAUUUAUAGAUAAGCAUGUUUCUUCAAAUCUAGGUGCAAAUACGGAAAGUUGAACAGACUGGGAUAGGGAAUAUUUGAUCAAUAAUACACUACAUCUAUUUUGCUUUUUAUUGAAUGUGAGGAUAAAAGACAAGUUUUAUUAACCAUUAAUCCACAUAUUUGUGAGACUUGGGUAUGGCGCAUCGGAGUACAUUAUGAAAUAUUGUGAUGUUUUAGAUUGAUCUUGAUGUUUUUUUUUAUUGAACUUUGAUGUUUUGGAUAUAUGUUACACGUUAUUAGUAUAAUUAUUAUCUAUUUAAAGAUUCACAUAUUGUUUAUGUGAUGAAAAAAUUGUAUUUUUCAUUUUAUUUUCUUAGUAUUGGCCAAGUCUAGCAUCCAAUAGACUUGGGAGACAAUUAAAACCGAUUCAGAAUUGAGCGGUCAUGCAUACACACAAUAAUUGUUACAUGGAACUUAUACACUUUGUUAUGAGCAGAUGCGUCUUUCAUGCGAAACAUACGUACUUUUAUACACAAUCAUUUUAGAAGAAAUUAUUGGUUGCAAAAUGGUAGGCAUAUAAGCAUUGAAAAAAAAGAUGGUUAUGUUCUUCACAAUUAUAAGACAUCCAACACUCCUAAAAAACUUUUCAUAGAUAUUUUCAUGAGGUUCGAAAUGCAAUGAUGAUUUUUUGCAAAAAGAAAUAUUUCCUGGAGUAAUAGGUACGUUAGAUGGAAGUUGUAUACGUAAUCAUGCCUUGCUGAUUAACAGGCUUGUUACAAAGGAAGUGGAUUUAUUACUCCUUACCGCAACAUGAGGUAUUGAUUCUCUGAUUAUCGACGACAACGUGCGUCAACUGAGGAAAGAUUCAAUCAUGCACACGUACAAUCUAGUAAUGAUAUUUUAAGCGAGCUUAUCGUAUUUUGAACGAGAGAUUCUCAAUCCUAAAGCAAGUGACUCCUUAUAGUUUUUUUAGGUGCAAAUAGACAUAGUCAUUGCUUAUUUCGCAGCCUAUAAUUUCAUAAGGAAAUGCAGUGAUGAUCAAUUAUUUAUGGCGUUCGUGGAGAACACAGGUUGAGCACAAGAAGGAGAGAGUGGCGGCCAAAACAUACACGACAUGGAACAGGGUUCACAAUGCAACGAAUACAUGACUAGUUUGUGUGACUAGAUUGUGAAUCAAUUAUUUUUAAAUGCUUCAAAUUAAAUUUGAAGGAUUUAUUUGGAUUUUAGUAUGAUUUUGUGGAUUUGAAAAUAUUUAUGUUUGAUUUGGAUUUGUGUUUGCUUAUAUGAUUUAUGUUUAAUUUGGAUUUUGUACGGUGUUUAUAUAUGUUUUUUAUAAUUAUUCAAGAAGUUGGUUCGGUUAUUUUAUAAACAUAAAUAUUGAAUUAAGCAAAAAAUAAUACAUAAGGAUAAAAUGGUCAUUUUUAUCAACACAACUAUUCAGAGGUUCCAACCAAACAACCAACCAAUAUGUUAAAAAUUCAGACCUUCUUAGAACUUCAUACCUCCUAAAAAUUCAGAUUAUGCCAAAUAGCUCCUAUGACUUCUUCACUUAAAAUGACUAUAAUACCUCCAUAAGCUAAUCUUAACACUCUAAAAAAACUUAUUAACUUACAGCUUCUUGGCACCACAUAAGCUAAUCAAAACACCUUUUUAGGGAAAAAAAAAUUGUCACCUCAUAAGCUAAUAAACACUUUAUCAAAAAUUGCUUAUUAAGUUCAAUAAUUAAUUAAGUUUGUACUGCUUUACUAGCAAGAGGGUCCCAUUUUUUUAAUGGCUUUGAUUAGAAGUAUUAGAAGUAAUAGACAAGCUACUCAUACCAAGGCUCUCAUGUAAUUUAUUAAGUUGGAAUGGACAAUAGAUGUAUAAGAGUAAAAAAUAGAGGAAACCUUGGUGCAAAUAUAGAUCAAUGAUACUAACUUUCCCAAACAAUAAUCACCAUGGAAGUUUGCUGAGCUUUGGCUCUUUUCAAAAAAAAAAAAAAACAAUAAUCACCAUGGAAACAGUUUGUAGUAUAUACUUAUUUUGACAUUUCUAGAUUGUUAUUGCCGGUGUAUUUUGAUUAAAAGAGUAGAUUUUUGUAAAAUUUUCAUGCCCAUUAAUUAUUAUAUUUAUGUUAAUGACAAUCUUGAUUGGCAUAGGUUAAGCUAGGAGAUCCGAAUGUGGUUUCAAAUCCUAAAACACAUGUAGUAAAAAACGAUAUUAAAUGAAGGAAAACAACAUAUUUGACAUUGAAAGUCAAAAUUCAUCCCAUGAACUUUGAACAUUGAUCCUAUAAGAUAGGGUAUACUGUAUACUUCAGAAGCCACCAGCAAAACAGUAACCAACUUUGAGCUUAGUAAAACACCAAACUGUAAUUAAUGGCAACCAACUUUGAGAGACUAAGUACAAUGAUUAUAAAAUAUCAGAUUGUAACAAUAUAUGAACUUUUAAGAUUACUCAACAGAAGGUUAAACUUUCCAAUAAAAAAACUACAUAAAAUGCUGUUAACUAACUCCAUUUUAAGACAUAUUUUGUCCCAAUUAAUGCAAGGCGUAUAAUGUAUACAUCAUUAGAAGAAGGAAAAGGAAAAAGGUCCAAAGCAAUGUUGAUUGUUCAUGUUACAAAUAAUAAAACAAGUUGAUGGUUUAAGAAAAAGAUUAAGCACAAGUCAUAAACCUAAUUCGUCUUAAAAUGGAUUCAAUUGCAAAAAUCAACACAAGUCAUAAUCAAAGGCAUAACAAGAAAGCUGUAAGAAUAAAAUUGAAAAAGAUGGAAGUGGGGGUUUAGAUGAUUUUGAGGACAAUGUUACAACGGAAGCAUCAGGCCAAGUCCAAGAGUAAGAAGGGUUCGCACCUUAGACAAUCAAUAGUGUGCCGGUUGUUGUUGUGCUCUGAUAAGUCAAUUCAUAAGCCACCGUUUCCCGCUGUUAGUUUACAGGUCUGGAUGGAAACAGAUAUUCUAGUGGCUCGCUCUUCAAGAGGUCGCUGCC
RNAcentral lists this long non-coding RNA (13094 nucleotides) under Lactuca sativa (garden lettuce). RNAcentral's name for it is "long non-coding RNA (LSAT_LNC006125)". The record is from RNAcentral. Lineage: Eukaryota; Viridiplantae; Streptophyta; Magnoliopsida; Asterales; Asteraceae.